Molecule: ribosomal RNA, 479 nt
Filed under: uncultured bacterium
Lineage: Bacteria
Description: bacterial SSU rRNA
Rfam family: Bacterial small subunit ribosomal RNA
Source: RNAcentral
CUGGAGACUCCUACGGGAGGCAGCAGUGGGGAAUUUUGGACAAUGGGCGCAAGCCUGAUCCAGCCAUGCCGCGUGUCUGAAGAAGGCCUUCGGGUUGUAAAGGACUUUUGUCAGGGAAGAAAAGGCUGUUGCUAAUAUCGACAGCUGGUGACGGUACCUGAAGAAUAAGCACCGGCUAACUACGUGCCAGCAGCCGCGGUAAUACGUAGGGUGCGAGCGUUAAUCGGAAUUACUGGGCGUAAAGCGAGCGCAGACGGUUACUUAAGCAGGAUGUGAAAUCCCCGGGCUCAACCUGGGAACUGCGUUCUUAACUGGGUGACUGGAGUGUGUCAGAGGGAGGUAAAAUUCCACGUGUAGCAGUGAAAUGCGUAGAGAUGUGGAGGAAUACCGAUGGCGAAGGCAGCCUCCGGGGAUAACACUGACGUUCAUGCUCGAAAGCGUGGGUAGCAAACAGGAUUAGAUACCCCUGAAGUCCUAUC